Molecule: long non-coding RNA, 371 nt
Organism: Mizuhopecten yessoensis (Yesso scallop)
Lineage: Eukaryota; Metazoa; Mollusca; Bivalvia; Pectinida; Pectinidae
Exons: 3
Source: RefSeq, a predicted model, not a curated record
ACGGGCGACGUGUUUAGGUAACGAAAGGACACCACAACCUGCGUGCUACAGGCAAAGAGACAGAUAACCAUUAUGAAGCAUGUCUACAUGAUUACCUUAUUACUGGUAUUGGGUCUGUUUACGACCGUCAGUCUGGCCUGUAAUACAGGGUCGGACAACCAAGGGAAUGGAGACAAUAGUGGAACAAAUGACGGCACAGCGAAAAAUCAGCGUGUGAAACGAGUUGACAAUGAUGCAUUCGGAAAUCCAGGAUUGCCUCCUAUUGGCGAUUGAAGAUGUAUCGUAUAUUACAUUAUGAUCGAUAGGCCUUGAGGACGGCUUUGUGGAAACAACUUCAUCUACAGGAUAAAAUAAUAAACAAAUCAAAACUU